UACGUAGGGUGCGAGCGUUGUCCGGAAUUACUGGGCGUAAAGAGCUCGUAGGUGGUUUGUCGCGUUGUUCGUGAAAACCGGGGGCUUAACCCUCGGCGUGCGGGCGGUACGGGCAGACUGGAGUACUGCAGGGGAGACUGGAAUUCCUGGUGUAGCGGUGGAAUGCGCAGAUAUCAGGAGGAACACCGGUGGCGAAGGCGGGUCUCUGGGCAGUAACUGACGCUGAGGAGCGAAAGCGUGGGGAGCGAACAGG
Molecule: ribosomal RNA, 253 nt
Filed under: uncultured bacterium
Lineage: Bacteria
Description: partial 16S ribosomal RNA
Rfam family: Bacterial small subunit ribosomal RNA
Source: RNAcentral